Long non-coding RNA from Pipra filicauda (Wire-tailed manakin), 1717 nucleotides. RefSeq lists it as uncharacterized. The transcript is spliced from 2 exons. The record is from RefSeq and is a predicted model, not a curated record. Lineage: Eukaryota; Metazoa; Chordata; Aves; Passeriformes; Pipridae.
GCAGGUGAAGGCGCGGAGCGUCGUCAUGGCGGUGAUCGCGGAGACGAUGCUUCCGCUAACCCGGAACCGCUGCCGCUGACCCGGAAGCCAUCCCGCGCCCCAGCGCCACUUCCGCCACGGAAAGGCAGCGGAAGCGUCCCCGCCCCGCAGAACUGCCCCGCUCCCGGCCCGGCCCGGCUCCCACACAGCUCCGCUCCCGGCCCGGGAUCUGCCGCCGCCGGCCGUGACGGACAGAGGCAGCGGAGGAUAAAGGACCGCAUUGCAUACGACCUUACAGAUCCAGACCUUUAGACUGACCCUCAGACCGACCCUCGGAAGAGGACCAGCAGCAUGUUUUGUGGAUACUGAACAACGAAUGUCCCUAAGACGUUGGUUUGGACUUGGGAGAAGUGGGGGCCCAUUAUGGGAAUAUGGAUACAGUGUUUUUGGUGAACCAGUGCUAGGCGGAGCCUAUUAUACAAGAAACACACGGUUAUUAGCCCUAGAUUGGCAACAUGACAGCCUAGAGAACUGGUAGUUAGAAAAACUUUUGCCUUCUGCUAUACCCUGUAUUGAAUGUCAUACCACUGACCACCAGUCCUGGGUACUGUGUCAGUGUAAGGCGUGUGACAAAAAGUGGUACUGUGCCUCUUCUCGAAGACCAGAGUUUUGCAGAAUUUGUGACCCACGAGAACGAGUGCUCCCACUUACGGAAGCUAACAUAGUAGCCUUAGUGUGUGGAAAGAAAAGACUGGUUCCUGAUCAGUGGGAAGUACCUGAAGAACAGUGCGAAAAGACAGUAAGAGUGUGUGAAAAAAUUGCCUAAAAACAUAGGCCAUGAUGAGCAAAGGGCGAGGUAGUCUACAGAAAACAAUACACAUUGCUUUUCAUGCAGUGCAUUCAACGAGCUAUAGACAAAGCAUUAAAGGCUGUUUUAAUUAUAAACAAAGAAGGGGUAAUUAUGGAGGUGAACAGUGUCACGUCCCUCGGGCCUGGGACAAUGGACAUUGUUGCACUAGUUGGCAGAAGCUGUAGGAACAGUAAGCAGGAGAAGAAGACAUGGAAAAAGAAGACACAAGACUGCAAGAAGGACCUUGGUUGCUAAGAACUGUAGUUAUUUGUAUCUGUUAAAGCAUAUGCUGAAUUAUGUAGUUUGAGAAAGUAAGCAUAAGUAGAAAAUUACCAAUUGUUCUGCUUGAAUUACCUAUUAUUCUGCCUAGGGUAUAUAAGUAUAUGCAUUCUUAAGUAAAGGUCUUCGUUUUUGCACUGGAACGGAGUCCGUGCCCUCAAUCCCAACAGGGUCAGUCACCACAAAGAGGUGUCAAACUACUCCAGGCUCCCAGGCAUGAACCCGCAGAACUGUUCUUCCUGGUGUUGCAGUGCUGAGCCCAACAAGGAGAUGUGCACCCUCUGCACUCAAUGGCUGAAACGUGUAUUGCUUGCCAGCUGGUUCCUCUUGUUAAGAGAGCUGAACACAAAAGUACUUUUUUCUGCCAUGAUCCUCACUGGGGUAGACAACAAAUAUGGUAUUACUGAUGGGUAUGAGUAAUAUAAUUGGCAGCAUUUAAGGUCUGAAGAGAGGGGAAUUGUAGAUAAUAGCUUAAAUCAAUUAAAAAUCCUCUUAGGUAAAAAAUCACAGUGUGCCUACUACAAAUUAUUCUGUUGCACUGGUAAGUUUACAAAGGUAGAUACAUAAAAAGGAAACGACUAUAAAUAAAAAUAUAUUUCUUGUUAAUAA